GCGCUUUCUUUAGUAGCACAGAUACUAAAAUUGCAAUAAUAUAGAGAAAGUCAGCAUGGCACCUGGGUAAGGAUGAUGGGAAAAUUCAUGAAGCAUUCCGUAUUUUG
This is a small nuclear RNA of Dromiciops gliroides (monito del monte), 107 nucleotides long. The record is from RefSeq and is a predicted model, not a curated record. Lineage: Eukaryota; Metazoa; Chordata; Mammalia; Microbiotheria; Microbiotheriidae.